UCCGGCUUGAGAAAGUCCAGAGGCCAGUUUCCGGCUGCGCCAUUGCUGCCUGGGUCCCGGGACCUCGACUUCCAGAGCCGGGGGCGGGGGGCGGGACGGCGCCGGGGUUUCCGCCAGCGGCAGGCCAGCCGGGAAACAGUCCCCCUGCCCUGCGGGAGCCAGGUGAUGGAGGGCCCCGGUGGGUGAGGAUUGAGGUCCCUGGAAACUCAGACCAAAGAGCGUCGGCAGGAAAAGAGUUGGUCCCCACGGUCAAGGAACUGAAAGAUUAGCUCUGGUUUGGUUGGUGACUGAAUUUUGUGAUUGCUUGCAUUGAACUGCACUGUUUGACUACUCCAGCAAGUGUUGCAAGACUUCUUCAUUGUUGUAUGACAAAUACAGAAAGUUUUUAUUCUUGAAAGACUAUAGAAUGUUCUCUUUGAGGAACAAGCUGUAACAUGUAUAACUAGUUUAGGUAUAACAACGUUAACUGUUGUUUACCAGGGAACAGGCUUUUGGCAAAUAAUCUAAAAUAAUGUUCGUUGGGCAUAUGUUAAUGUUUGCAUGUUGUAUUAGCAGCAGUUGUUUCCCUACUCAUUCUUGUUUAAAGACUUGGAUGAUGGUUUCAAAGCUUGGCCUGCUGGAUCUAGCCUGUACCUGUAGUAGCCAGAAAAAAAAAAUGGACUCAGUCACUGGAUUGCGUGUACUCAACACUUUACUUGCUGGAGGUAAUAAUAUAUGAACUUUUAAAACUUGCCCAAAUAGUAAUUCCAGGAGGGGAUCAGAAUUUAUUUUAACGUCCUUUAUUACAAAGCUAAGGUGAAGAGACAGUAUUCCCAAUUACUACCUCUCCAAUAGUUGGCUCUGUUGCAUCCCUCAUUAAACACAUAGAAGUCUUGGGCCAGAAGAUCUUGCACAUAAGGAGGAAACACUGUAUGUAGCUCUUUGGCUCUAGUGUUAGAUCAUCCUUUCACAGUCAGAUAUUAACUGAGCUAGCUUCCAGUUCCAGAGCAGGCUGCAAGUUCAGGAAUAAGAUGGAGUUGCAACUGCUGAGCUGCUUAUUGCAACCUGCAUUGCCUUAAUGAGAGGUGGUGCCAAGAUUUGUUCUUUCUACAGUGAAAGUCUUACAGUUUGUGAGUUGAGAUUCACUUGUCCCUGCUGAUCUGUAUACUUUAAGUCACUCUGAGCCUGUUUCCUUUUCUGUUUGUGGAAAGUGUACUAGGUUAUCUCUGGUGUUUUUUCAGCAUCGAAGUUUUGUCAGUUGGACUGGAUUUGGCCAUUUUUCUGAUGUAUGCUUUUUUGUCUUUUAAAUAUGUUUUAUUGAUUAUGCUAUUACAAUUAUCCCAUUUUACCCCCUUUAUUUCCCUCCGCCCUGCAUCCUCCCACCCACACUCCCCUCCUUUAAUUCAUGUCCAUGG
Phyllostomus hastatus (greater spear-nosed bat) is the source of this 1394-nucleotide long non-coding RNA. RefSeq lists it as uncharacterized. Lineage: Eukaryota; Metazoa; Chordata; Mammalia; Chiroptera; Phyllostomidae. The transcript has 3 exons. The record is from RefSeq and is a predicted model, not a curated record.